GGUAGCGUGGCCGAGCGGUCUAAGGCGCUGGUUUAAGGCACCAGUCUUACUCCGGAGGCGUGGGUUCGAAUCCCACCGCUGCCA
Molecule: transfer RNA, 84 nt
Filed under: Trichonephila clavipes
Lineage: Eukaryota; Metazoa; Arthropoda; Arachnida; Araneae; Nephilidae
Rfam family: tRNA
About the family: Transfer RNA (tRNA) molecules are approximately 80 nucleotides in length. Their secondary structure includes four short double-helical elements and three loops (D, anti-codon, and T loops).
Source: Rfam by way of RNAcentral